This 623-nucleotide ribosomal RNA is filed under the name uncultured bacterium. RNAcentral describes it as "bacterial SSU rRNA". It matches the Rfam family "Bacterial small subunit ribosomal RNA", at positions 68 to 684 of the family's 1533-position model. The record is from RNAcentral.
UAGCACAGAGAGCUUGCUCUCGGGUGACGAGCGGCGGACGGGUGAGUAAUGUCUGGGAAACUGCCUGAUGGAGGGGGAUAACUACUGGAAACGGUAGCUAAUACCGCAUAAUGUCGCAAGACCAAAGUGGGGGACCUUCGGGCCUCAUGCCAUCAGAUGUGCCCAGAUGGGAUUAGCUAGUAGGUGGGGUAACGGCUCACCUAGGCGACGAUCCCUAGCUGGUCUGAGAGGAUGACCAGCCACACUGGAACUGAGACACGGUCCAGACUCCUACGGGAGGCAGCAGUGGGGAAUAUUGCACAAUGGGCGCAAGCCUGAUGCAGCCAUGCCGCGUGUGUGAAGAAGGCCUUCGGGUUGUAAAGCACUUUCAGCGGGGAGGAAGGCGUUAAGGUUAAUAACCUUGGCGAUUGACGUUACCCGCAGAAGAAGCACCGGCUAACUCCGUGCCAGCAGCCGCGGUAAUACGGAGGGUGCAAGCGUUAAUCGGAAUUACUGGGCGUAAAGCGCACGCAGGCGGUCUGUCAAGUCGGAUGUGAAAUCCCCGGGCUCAACCUGGGAACUGCAUUCGAAACUGGCAGGCUAGAGUCUUGUAGAGGGGGGUAGAAUUCCAGGUGUAGCGGUGA